Molecule: long non-coding RNA, 439 nt
Filed under: Rattus norvegicus (Norway rat)
Lineage: Eukaryota; Metazoa; Chordata; Mammalia; Rodentia; Muridae
Description: long non-coding RNA NONRATT015216
Source: RNAcentral
GGCGCUGUGGAAGUGGCGGCAGUGCUGGCUCGGCCCUAUCGUUCUACUCAAGCGUACUGUGGCGGUGGGCUCGCGCUGGGAUGAGCCCGCGGUGCCGAGCCGCGAAGUGGAGUCAUGGCCAGUACAGUGGUAGCAGUCGGAUUGACCAUUGCUGCUGCAGGAUUUGCAGGCCGUUAUGUUUUACAAGCCAUGAAGCAUGUGGAGCCUCAAGUAAAACAAGUUUUUCAGAGUCUACCAAAAUCUGUAAGAUCUAUAGGAGGAUCUCCUUAUAUAGCAGCCAAAAUCAAUGAAGCUAAAGACUUACUAGAAGGACAAGCUAAAAAAUAAAGUAAUCUGAUGAAUUUUAAGUCCAUUAGUCUACUUAUGAGCAUGUUUUUAAAUAAAAUGCCUCAGAGCUGUAACUCAUGAUGUAACUCAUGAAAAUUUCUUGGCAAAAGCU